GCGGGUAUCGUAUAGCGGCAUUAUGUAUCCUUCCCAAGGAUAAGACACGGGUUCGAUUCCCGUUACCCGCUCAA
Molecule: transfer RNA, 74 nt
Filed under: Candidatus Wolfebacteria bacterium CG1_02_39_135
Lineage: Bacteria; Candidatus Wolfeibacteriota
Also listed under: 4 other names
Description: tRNA-Gly
Rfam family: tRNA
About the family: Transfer RNA (tRNA) molecules are approximately 80 nucleotides in length. Their secondary structure includes four short double-helical elements and three loops (D, anti-codon, and T loops).
Source: RNAcentral